Oncorhynchus keta (chum salmon) is the source of this 789-nucleotide long non-coding RNA. RefSeq lists it as uncharacterized. The record is from RefSeq and is a predicted model, not a curated record. The transcript has 3 exons. NCBI's taxonomy places the organism in Eukaryota, Metazoa, Chordata, Actinopteri, Salmoniformes, Salmonidae.
GUAACCAGAGUGGGUCAGGACUGACUACAGAGAUGGGACAGGUUGUAACCAGAGUGGGUCAUGAGUGAGUACAGAGAUGGGACAGGUUGUUACCAGAGUGGGUCAUGAGUGAGUACAGAGAUGGGACAGGUUGUAACCAGAGUGGGUCAGGACUGACUACAGAGAUGGGACAGGUUGUUACCAGAGUGGGUCAGGACUGACUACAGAGAUGGGACAGGUUGUUACCAGAGUGGGUCAUGAGUGAGUACAGAGAUGGGACAGGUUGUUACCAGAGUGGGUCAGGACUGACUACAGAGAUGGGACAGGUUGUAACCAGAGUGGGUCAGGACUGACUACAGAGAUGGGACAGGUUGUAACCAGAGUGGGUCAGGACUGACUACAGAGAUGGGACAGGUUGUAACCAGAGUGGGUCAGGACUGACUACAGAGAUGGGACAGGUUGUAACCAGAGUGGGUCAGGACUGACUACAGAGAUGGGACAGGUUGUUACCAGAGUGGGUCAGGACUGACUACAGAGAUGGGACAGGUUGUAACCAGAGUGGGUCAGUACUGACUACAGAGAUGGGACAGGUUGUUACCAGAGUGGGUCAGGACUGACUACAGAGAUGGGACAGGUUGUAACCAGAGUGGGUCAGGACUGACUACAGAGAUGGGACAGGUUGUUACCAGAGUGGGUCAGGACUGACUACAGAGAUGGGACAGGUUGUAACCAGAGUGGGUCAGGACUGACUACAGAGAUGGGACAGGUUGUUACCAGAGUGGGUCAGGACUGACUACAGAGAUGGGACAG